RNAcentral lists this long non-coding RNA (2366 nucleotides) under Panax ginseng (ginseng). Its description in RNAcentral is "long non-coding RNA (PGIN_LNC009615)". The record is from RNAcentral. Lineage: Eukaryota; Viridiplantae; Streptophyta; Magnoliopsida; Apiales; Araliaceae.
CCUAAUUGAAGUCACUGAGCUUGAUACCGGAUGAGACACUCUUACUAGACCUUAACCGAGGCAAGCCUAAUUGAAGUCACUGUACAUGGAAGUCACUGUACAGGGUACUGCCUAAUUGAAGUCACUGUACAUGGAAGUCACUGUACAGGGUACUGCCUAAUUGAAGUCACUGUACAUGGAAGUCACUGUACAGGGUACUGCCUAAUUGAAGUCACUGUACAUGGAAGUCACUGUACAGGGUACUGCCUAAUUGAAGUCACUGUACAUGGAAGUGUAACAUAUUGUAAUUGUGUAAUUAAUUUGCUGUGCAACAGAUGUGCAAACCACUGUACAUUACAAACAACAACAAUAGUCAGCUCAAUGUCAUCUCUAAUAAGCAAACUACAAACUACUGUACAUUACAUUAAACAAUUUCAUUACAACACAACUCGACUACAUUACAAACAACAAAAACCAAUGGUAUAAUAGCUGUGCAACAGAUGUGCAAACCACUGUAUUUUUCUUUUCUACAAUAGCUUUGUCAUUUUUGGCAUUGACAUUUGUUGCAGGUUCCUCUGUGUAAUCUGUAACUCCAUCCACAGCAGAAUUCAAGUAACAGAGUGAGAUUCUUAAACCAAUGGUAUAACUUGAUCUUCUUCAAUAUUUUAGUAGGAAUGAUAUGGUUUUGGUACUGUUGUGAAGCUCUAGCUUAUCUUGGAUAGUCUGCAGUAUAAACAUGGCUAUAUUUCUCAAUCAAAACAUACUGAAACUAAUAGACCAACUUUAACAACUUUCGGGCAAAAUCAGUCCUCCACCAUAUCUCUACAUAUAUAAGACACAACUUCGAAGAUGAAAAACGAAAAGGCAGUCUUAGACUUUUUUACCAAACAAAAAUCAAAUUUUGGUACCUAAAAUUUUUAUAUGAAGAUUUAGAUUAGUUUACUUUAGUGGUUCCAAGAACUUCUUCUUCUUCAAAAAGAAAUCAUCACAAUUGUACAAAAUAAUGAUUCAUCAUUGUAUAUUACCUUGCUUCAUAGCAGACACCCAAAAUGCAAAAAAAAAAACCCCUUUUUCAUAGCUCCCAAUCAGCAGAUAAGGUGCACCUGCAUUAAAAAAUAAUUGUGUUGUAAGUUUCUAAAAAGAGUUGAAUAGCAUUUGACAACUGCUUUGGAAUUCAUAUGUACUUCAAUUCUGGGAAAUUGAUGAUUCAGAGCAAGUUGGAGGCUAGGAACAUCACAAAAAAGUUACCUUACAUCCCUUUUCUAGUAAAAUUUAAGUCAAAGUUGGAUUCCAAAGAAUGUAACAAAGACAGAACUGUGAUACAGUUAGCUUACAUUCCUUUUCUGGUACAUUAAUAAAAUUCCACUUAAAGUUAGAUUUUGUUUACAUGUCCAUGCAAUUGUAUAACUUAAUCUUUGUAGAGAAAAUGAAUAGAAAUGUUACAUUAAAACCUCUAAGAAUAUGCCAGGCUCCCUCGCAACUAAGAACAAAUGCUUAUGCUACAAGGGGUGUGAGAAGGAUGAGAUUUCCAGUAUACUGAAGUAACUGAACAAUAUUACAACUUCAGGCUUUUUUUUCAUGGUCCACCUAUCUAUUAUAUUAAUUCCUCCUCCGUUGAAAAAAUAGUGUCAAAUGCCUCUAAUAAAAAUCAAAAUUUCAAUUAACGUAUAUCUAAAGAAGGUCAAAUAAUAAUAAUUAAACAACGAAAAAACAUAUUUACUACAUAAUAUCAAUGAAUAAAGCAAAUCGAGCAACGUUUACAGGGACAUUCGGAAAUUAAAAAAAAGAAAUGCAAAGGAAAGAUGAUAUGAAUGUGAAACGUAAAUAAACAAAAAUCAAUAAACGGAGCAGAGUAGACCAUCAGCCACAAUCCAAUAAACAACUCUAAUUAAACAAAUAUUGAGAAAAACUCUGUUUAAAACUAUCAAAGUUUGGUGAUAUCAGAAAUUUUAGGAGAGAGAAUCUCACUGACCUGCUGAUUUGCAAACCCUAGCUUCAAAGGGGCUUUGUUCUGUUCUAUGUCCGGCGACUUCGCGAAUCUACCUUACAACUUAGUGAAUGGAAGAGAGGGUUUUCAGAUGGGUUCGACUGGCAGAAAGGGAUUUUCGAUCUGUACGAAUUGGAAGAGUAAGAGAGAUGGAGGGGUUUUCGAUCUGUAUGAAUUGGAAGAGUAAGAGAGAAGGAGGGAGUCUUCCGAUCUGUUUGCCUCUGCUUUACCUUCCGAUCUGUGAGGGAGAGAGAAUCGGGGAGAGAGAAGAUGGAAGAGCCGGCUCUUUGUGAGUGAGGGAGAGAGAAUCGGUAUUCUGAAAGUGUGAGAGGGAGGGAAGACCCGACUCUUUUGACCCGCGUGUUUUUUUUUUUCAUUUGUUUCGUUUGUUAGUCCGUUC